This is a long non-coding RNA of Cuculus canorus (common cuckoo), 2777 nucleotides long. RefSeq lists it as uncharacterized. NCBI's taxonomy places the organism in Eukaryota, Metazoa, Chordata, Aves, Cuculiformes, Cuculidae. The transcript has 4 exons. The record is from RefSeq and is a predicted model, not a curated record.
AGAACCGACUGCUUGUGUAGGAAGUUGAGCAAGCACCAGCUGGACAAAGAAAAGCCCUGAAAAGCAGGGGUAUGCAAGCUAAAUGGCAUCGUGACAUCUUUUUGACUGCCUGCUGAUUCUUAGCAGCUGUUGAUAAGGAACAUUCUUUCUGUACCACCGCAAGACCUGCUGUGAAAUCUCUAAAGACUGCAUGGGAAUAGGAAACCAGCACAGAGCACGCAGUUCUCCUUUGUUUUGAAUCGUCUGUCAGUAGAUGUGAGCCACACAGUGCUGACAGGACCUGCAUGCUGACACUGUACCACACGCCACCGGGGCUUGGACAUGACAGUACGUGUGGAUCAGGAGCCUAUGAAGUCUGAAGCCUGAAAAUAAAGUCUGAUGUGUCUGAUAAAAUAACUGUAAAUCUAUGUGGACUUCUGCUGAGAUGCAAUUAUUACAAGGUGUACGUGGAGUCUUGGUGGGCUGUGAAUGGCUGUUUGUACGCGAUACACAAAAUCAAGCAAUCCAAAGUGUCCAGCUACGAGAGCAUUGGUUGGCACUGACUCAGUCUGGUACAGGUUUGCUAGAUCUUGCUGUACCUGAUACAAUGAUGGACUUGUUUUCCUCAGAUGAUAUGUAAGAGAGGGCACUAAGCCAGACACUGUGUACUUUUGCUUAUGCUUUUCUGUUUUGCUCUCCCCUUUUUCAUGACUGAUCUUACUUGUUCUUCAGAUAAAACAAGAUUAGACCCUAGCAGCUACAGCUCUACCCGUUUCCAUUGGCUUCUUUACCUUUCUUUAGAACAUGCAUCUCCAAAACAUCUAAAAAUGAUGUUUAUAGCCAUGAUUAGUACCAACUGAACAGAUUGCUGGGGGACUGGUACAAAGAGUGGACAUAACUUAUUACGUAACUCUAAAGGAAAUACAGGAAUGUUACUGAAGUGAAAGCCAUAUUAUAUACAUUGCAUUUUCAAUAUUUGAACUUCUUCUCCUGUUAUUCAUUGGUUAAAAAGUUUAAUGUUUAAUUUCCCUCCUUGUGGCUAUUUCUAUGGGGGAUAUUAAGCAGAGCUGAUGUCUCCACUGUCUGCCUUGUGAACUGCUCACUGUUGUCCAGAGAGAGGUUCAUAUACAUGACUGCUUUGGACUUGGAGUUGAGUUAAGAUUAACACUGCAACACAUGGAUUGUAUUUUCAAAAGUGGAUUAAGAGUCAGUCUAGUAUAGUAUUUUGUAACCACACAGUGUCUAUUUCCAAUUACAUAUUCAUCAAACAGAUUUCUAGUGCAAUCCUUGUUCUUAUCACUUAAAUGGCAUUGCGCAUCUCGAACAGAGAGCAGAAUUCCAUCCAGGUUGCUUACAAAGAAAUUCCAAACUCCUUAAAGACCUGAAAGGCUUCACUGACAGACCAUCUGUAAGUGCUUUUCACAUAGAAGAACAAAAUAAGUGUGGAAAAUUGAUUAAUGUGAGUUGCAAGGCAAUGAGGAAAAUGUACUCAGAGGUUCUUACAUUCCAUCCGAACUAAGAGCAUAUAUGCUAUAUAUAUCCUAUAUAUAGUAUAUGGAGAGAGUAUACAUUUUCUAAUUAGGUAUAGUGGUUUUCCAGUGUAUUUCUUUAUUUUCUGCCAGGCAGCUGGCAGCAGCCUGAGGCAGCUCAGCCUAAUGGUAGUACAGAUCAGGACUUUUAGGUUUUGAGAGUAACCAAAACCAGAAUGAAUGACUGGUGUGUUGAGCAUCAGAGGCUUUGGCACCUGUUACGGACAACUAAAACUGUUGAGAAAAUCCACUUUAGUCAGAUGCUUAAUAGGACAAAGCAUUCAAUAACUUAGUUGCUAAUACUAUACGUCAUGAGAUACAGGCCUAAUUGCAAUGUCUUCAAUGAUUGUUGCUAGAAGAGAAUAAGGAGAGGGAGUUAGAAUAGGGAGAGAAUAACAGAGCCUCUGUCCCCAUAUGAGGACAGGCUGAGAGUGUUUGAUUUGUUCAGCCUGGAAAAGAAAAGGCUCUGGGGAGACCUCACAGCAGCCGCCCAGUACUGAAAGGGGCCGCAGGAAAGCUGGGGAGGGGCUUUUUAUCAGGGAGUGCAGGGAUAGGACUGGGGGGGAUGACAAUUUUAAGCUGAAAAGAGGGAGAUUUAGAUUAGAUGUUAAGAGAAAAUGCUUCCCCGUGAGGGUGGUGAAACACUGGCACAGGUUGCUCAGGGAAGCUGUGGCUGCCCCAUCCCUGGAGGUGUUCAAGGCCAGGUUGGAUGGGGCUUUGAACAACCUGAUGCAGUGGGAGGUGUCCCUGCCCGUAGCAGAUGGGUUGGAGUUAGAUAGGCUUCAAGGUCCCUUCCAACCCAAACCAUUCUGUGAUUCGAUGAGAGGGCAUCCAUGAAUAGUCUAUAUGUUUAAAAUAAUUUCUCGAGAGUUCUUGCUUUCCAAGCACACCCAGAUGAGAGUUUCAGUGAGUUACCAGUGGUGUGCACGGCAGGCAGCUCAUCUCUGAACCUGCGGCCGUCAGAUCGCCUGGGAUACAUAGCUGGGAGGACAGCAACGAGACUGUUCAGUGAGGGAACUAGAGGAACUAAAGAGUAAAGCUUGACAGGCAUGGAUCAGGAGAGCAUAGUUGGAUAAAAUAAGACAGAAACCAACUUGGAAAGGAGAGACUGUGUAUCGUGUAUUACAGUGGUGCAAAGGAUAAGCUCAGAAAUGGUCUAUCUGAAGAGCCGCAGCUGGGGAAGAGAGGUUGUACCCAUGCCGAGGUGGAACCUGCCAUCUGGACACACGGUGGCAGCAGAAAAGCGCAGCCAUCCUUGUGCCAACAACU